UACGGAGGGCGCAAGCGUUGUUCGGAUUUACUGGGCGUAAAGGGCAGGUAGGCGGUUCGUCAAGUCUUCUGUGAAACUCCGGGGCUCAACCCCGGACAUGCAGAAGAUACUGGCAGACUAGAGACCGGUAGAGGCAAGCGGAAUUCCUGGUGUAGCGGUGGAAUGCGUAGAUAUCAGGAAGAACACCGGUGGCGAAGGCGGCUUGCUGGGCCGGGUCUGACGCUGAACUGCGAAAGCGUGGGGAGCAAACAGG
This 253-nucleotide ribosomal RNA is filed under the name uncultured prokaryote. RNAcentral describes it as "partial 16S ribosomal RNA". It matches the Rfam family "Bacterial small subunit ribosomal RNA", at positions 524 to 776 of the family's 1533-position model. The record is from RNAcentral.